Molecule: ribosomal RNA, 468 nt
Filed under: uncultured bacterium
Lineage: Bacteria
Description: bacterial SSU rRNA
Rfam family: Bacterial small subunit ribosomal RNA
Source: RNAcentral
UGGCCAGACUCCUACGGGAGGCAGCAGUGAGGAAUAUUGGUCAAUGGGAGAGAUCCUGAACCAGCCAAGCCGCGUGAGGGAAGACGGCCCUAUGGGUUGUAAACCUCUUUUGUCGGAGAACAAAACCCGGGACGUGUCCCGGACUGCGUGUAUCCGAAGAAAAAGCAUCGGCUAACUCCGUGCCAGCAGCCGCGGUAAUACGGAGGAUGCGAGCGUUAUCCGGAUUUAUUGGGUUUAAAGGGUGCGUAGGCGGACGCUUAAGUCAGCGGUAAAAUUGCGGGGCUCAACCUCGUCGAGCCGUUGAAACUGGGUGCCUUGAGUGGGCGAGAAGUACGCGGAAUGUGUGGUGUAGCGGUGAAAUGCAUAGAUAUCACGCAGAACUCCGAUUGCGAAGGCAGCGUACCGGCGCCCAACUGACGCUGAAGCACGAAGGCGUGGGUAUCGAACAGGAUUAGAUACCCGAGUAGC